CUGACGCCUUCAGGCAAGUGAAGAAGCCAGCCCGCAGCAACUCUGCAGGGAAGAAUAUAGGGAAAUAAACGCCUUCAUCUCUCUCUUGUCCCACCCGCAGAGCUCCUUCUGGGAUUCUCUAUUGGCUGAACUCAGCCAGAAGCUGCCAAGGGAGACCCCCACAACUGGAUGCAGCCCACUGAAGUCAGCUUCCUGGGGUGCGUAGCUGAAGGUAGCAGGGAGCAAAAAGAAUCUGAAGGGGAAGUGAACAAUGUAGAGCGUAUCUGUGCUGAAGACGUAAGGAGAGAGUGGAGGUCAGAAGCUGGCAUGGUCCCUGGUGCAUGUAUCAGCCGCUAAAGCUGGAGUGGAUGAAUCAGAACUUUCCCCAUGGGAGCAUUUAUAAAAAGGGGACACCCAGCGCAGAAGAUGUUUUCCAGGGAGAUCUCGGGGAGCCCAACAAGCCAAGAAGAGCAGAGCAAAGCAUUCCAAGGAAGGACUCUAAGUCUGCAACCGAGCACACACGAGGGUAGCCUACGCAUGUACGUCUUGCAGUGAUGGCAAGGAGCAGGAGAAAGAAAGCCCAUCCAAACAAGCAUAUUGGAAGCCUAUGUAUCCCAUAAGCUGACAUCUUGUUGCCCAAAGCAUGUCAUGUGCGUGGUCCAGAGUCAGUGUUGAAGGGCUCUGCAAAAUCACAUGGUAAAGACUGUGGUUUCAGGGAGGAGUGAAGAUUUGUGCGCAUUGCUCCAAUUGACAACCAUGGCACUAGGCUCAGGCCACACUUCUUCCUAACAAGAGAGCAAGUCAAAGCGUGGUUAGUUAAAGUCCAUACAAAAACUCACUUUAACAGGCCUCCUCUGGAUUGAACAGCUGAUAUUAAGUCAUAAGGUACCACAUCAGAAAGAUACUGGGUAUCUUUGGUUCAGCAAUUCCAUCACCAGGGACUUUUUCAUCCUAAGGAAAUCACUGCACGGUGGACAAAGAUAUAUGCAUAAGGAUGCUCCUUCUGGCCAAAGACCAAAAACAUAACUGGCCAUCAGUAAAAGCCAAAAGCAAGACUGACCUCCUUGGAACAGACUUUCUGGACAAUUUGCUGGCAGAGGAAGAGACCACAAGAGGAAAAAAGUGGACUUCCUGGUAAUUUAGGGGUUUGAUUAACAAAUUUGAAUAUUUAAAAGAGAUGUUAUUUUCACUAAAGAAGAUAGCUAAAUGGUAAAUAAGCCUAUUCAACAUUAUUAGUCAUCAAAGAAAUUCAAGUUAAAACUACAAUGACAUAUCACCACACACCCUUGAAAAUGGCUAAAAUAAGGACUGAUAUUAUCAAGUGUUGGGGAAGAUGUGGAGCAACUAGAACUCUCAUACUCAAUUUGGGAGUGCAAAUUGGUUCAAUCUCUUUGGAAAACUGUUUAGCAGUAGCUACAAAAGCUGAAAGCAUAGACUGUGACCCAGUAAUUUCAUUUCUGGAUAUUACUACACAUAUAUACACAGGAAUGUUUAUAUAUUUCCACCAAAGUGCCUACGCAAGAAUAUUCAUAGCAGCACUAUCUGUAAUAGCCUAAAACUAGAAACUACCUAAAUGUCCAUCAACAGGUUAAAAAAAGAUAAAUUGUGGUAUGUUUCUAUAAUGCAUUGUUACUCAGAAAGAAGAAGGAUGAGGAGAAUGUAACAACAUGAAAGAAACUCACUGCCCUAAUAUUGAGCACAAGAAACCAGAAAUACAUACAGAAAAGUAUACCAUACUCAUUGUUCUAUUUAUAUGAAAUUCAAGAACUGGCUAAACUAAUCUAUGAUGACAGAAGUCAGAAUAUGAUUACUUUUGGAAGGAGGAGCAUUAACCAAAAUGGGACAUAAAGGAGGCUGUUGAGAUACCUGAAAUAUUCUUGUCAUAAUCUGGGUAGUGUUGUAUGGGUAUUGCCAUGUAUUAAAUUGUGUCUCCCCACACCUUCAAAUUCAUACUUUGAAGCCCUAUUCCCCAAUAUGGUUAUGUUUAAAACUAGGGCUUUUAGAAGGGAAUUAAGGUUAAAUGAGACCAUCGGUUCCCUGAUCCCAUAAGAUUAGCAUCCUUAUAAAAGAAACAGCAGAGUUUGUGCGCUCACUCUGUCUUUCACUCUCUGUUUCUCUGUCUGUCUCCCCCUCUCUCCCUCUCUUCCUCCUGCUCUCUGCAUGCAUAGCACAAGGAAAGACCAUGUGAAUACACAGCAAGAACGUGGUGCUCUGCAAGUCAGAAACAGACCCGUCAUCAGACACCAAAUCAGCCAGCACCUUGAUCUAGGAUUUCUGGCCUCCAAAACAGUGAGAAAAUAAAAUUCUGUUGUUUAAGCCAUGCAGCCUGUUGUAUUUCAUUAUGGCAGCCUGAGCAGAAUAAGACAGGUAUAUACAAAUGCAAAUUCUAUUAAGAAAUCUGUAUCUUUUACCCUAUUGAAG
This 2400-nucleotide long non-coding RNA is filed under the name Homo sapiens (human). RNAcentral's name for it is "HSALNT0405446". The record is from RNAcentral. Lineage: Eukaryota; Metazoa; Chordata; Mammalia; Primates; Hominidae.